UCCUAAAUAACAAUUGGGAUAUCUUGUUGGCAGAUCCAGAACUGCAAGUACUAGUGGGAGGCUGGGAGCCUAUGCCAGACUUACCGCUAAAAGAGCACCUUCAUUGAAAGAUAAAUUGACACGUAGCCACUUUGUGGGGACAAAACAGACAUGAGCUACAACUUGGCUAGGGAAGAAAGUAAUUGAUUCUUGGAAAUGUGGGAACUGUAAGGCAUGCUGAUUUAUUAAAAUAUGUGAUUCCUUUAAGCAUCCUAGAUUGACAUAUAAGAAUUUUUCUAUCUAUAGUUAUAUCAACUGUAAAACGACUGCUGUUAUCUACAUUAUAGAAUGCACAUGCCCCCUAAUGUAUGUGGGUAAGACGAAACAUGCCCUUGGCAGAAGUCUGUUAGAACACAUAGGGGACAUAAGACGUAAAUCACCUAAAAGCUCUGUGGCCAGACAUUUUAAUGAAAUCCAUGCAGGUGAUACCUAAUGCUUUAAGAUGCAUGGUAUUGAGCACAUUACAAUGGGGAUUCAUGGAGGCGACAUAGAUAAAUUACUUCUUAAGAAAGAGUUAAAAUGGAUAUACACUCUGGAUACAUUAUGGCCAAAAGGCCUUAAUGAAGAAAGGAAAUUCAGGGUUUUGCUAUGAUGCUUUUCAUAUAGAAUAAAUGUUAAAAAAAAAUCCGGGGUGCUUACGGGAUUCUAAGUAAUUCUAUAUAUAAAGAAAAUGUUAGCCAUUGUGAUCUGAGGUAGGGUUAAAUGUUAGUUCAGUUCAUCUUUUCUCAAAACUUAAAAUGUGCUUGUUACACUGCAGUACUUAAUGCUUGUGAUGAAUGCCUCCCAAUGUGCAUUGGGCUGUAACAUGUAUUGUUUAAUCUCUAACUCAUAGGAGUUGGAGGGCUCAUUAGCAUAUUAAAUGGCUGGGGGCUAUAUUAGAUGCCUCCAAUUACUCCAAUUAAUUGAAGAAGCCACCUGCGGCAAAACAUGUCGGCGUGUUGGAGGAGUUAUAGAAAGUGGCCCGGUUGAACUGCUGCAAUUAAUGCUAAUCCCCUCUGUUUGUAAACCAGAUCGGCUAACACAGCACUUCGGACGUUAGAGGGGAAGCCUCUGCUCUAAGGUACAACAGGUGGACUAUAAUCCCGAAGCAUUUAUCUUCUCUGAGUGAAAAUGAGAGGAAAGUGACAGAAUUAACAGAGAUACUUCUGCGUAUUAAACGUGAUGUCCUAGAAAUCAAGAGCAUUGCGGAAAUGUUUAUCCAUUGAUCACUCCUGAAUUGAAACAAGAUCUGAUCCGUAAACUUGAGAAAUCGAGGAAGAAUAAGAGCAACCAAGAUACAGAAGAAAAGACAAUUGUGCAUUUGUAGAGUAGUACCAGCACUACAACCAUUUAUUUGUGCCCACUGUUUGGAGAAACAAAAAAUAUUUUGCAUUAGACAUCAUAAAAAGCAAUUAAAUAUAGUUGACAUAAAGCCAUUCUGAUUCCAAUAUAUCAUUUUGUGACAAAAUACUGUCAGUCAAAUUACUGAACCAAUAAGAAGAAGGUUACUCAUUACCCAAUAGCACGCUGUAUUUAAUUUGAGGCCAUGUACUGGUCUUUCUUCCCACUCUUUUAAUUAAUUCUAUAAAGUUUUGAUUGGAUAUUGGCCCUAUUGUAAUGAUGGGUUUGGUUGGAAGAUAAUAAAAGUAGCCAUAUCACCA
This is an RNA transcript of Xenopus laevis (African clawed frog), 1679 nucleotides long. RefSeq lists it as uncharacterized. The transcript is spliced from 2 exons. NCBI's taxonomy places the organism in Eukaryota, Metazoa, Chordata, Amphibia, Anura, Pipidae. The record is from RefSeq and is a predicted model, not a curated record.